UGGGGAAUUUUGCGCAAUGGGCGAAAGCCUGACGCAGCGACGCCGCGUGUACGAUGAAGGCCUUCGGGUUGUAAACCGCUGUCAGUUGGGAGGAAGAGCUCGUGAAGAGCGAGUUUUGACCUAUCUUCAGAGGAAGUCCGGGCUAAGUUCGUGCCAGCAGCCGCGGUAACACGAACCGGACAAACGUUAUUCGGAAUUAUUGGGCUUAAAGGGUGCGUAGGCGGCCAUGUAGGUGGGGUGUGAAAUCCCUCGGCUCAACCGAGGAACUGCGCCCCAAACCACAUGGCUAGAGGGAGACAGAGGUAAGCGGAACUGAUGGUGGAGCGGUGAAAUGCGUUGAUAUCAUCAGGAACACCGGUGGCGAAAGCGGCUUACUGGGUCUCUUCUGACGCUGAGGUACGAAAGCUAGGGUAGCGAACGGGAUUAGAUACCCCUGUAGUCC
RNAcentral lists this ribosomal RNA (442 nucleotides) under uncultured prokaryote. Its description in RNAcentral is "bacterial SSU rRNA". It matches the Rfam family "Bacterial small subunit ribosomal RNA", at positions 355 to 796 of the family's 1533-position model. The record is from RNAcentral.